GCAUUUCCAAAGAGUAUCAAGAGGCGAUAGGAGCAAUUAAAGAUGGUACAGGCUGUGCCCCACUCAUUGUUGUUACUUCUAAAAGAGAAGUCGAAGGUGAAGAGAACGAAAUGCACUCGCAUCUCACAGGAAUAGGUUCCUCACGGGCUUUGUUCAUUGAUAAUUAUCUGAUAGAUGAUGAAGGAGAAGGUCCCACGGAUGACGAUGUUGACUUCACAAAGCACCUCGCCCUGUGUAAAGUCCUUCAAGCUAUCCAGUGUGACUACGAC
Anneissia japonica is the source of this 269-nucleotide long non-coding RNA. RefSeq lists it as uncharacterized. The transcript has 3 exons. The record is from RefSeq and is a predicted model, not a curated record. NCBI's taxonomy places the organism in Eukaryota, Metazoa, Echinodermata, Crinoidea, Comatulida, Comatulidae.